UGGGGAAUAUUGGACAAUGGGGGCAACCCUGAUCCAGCGAUGCCGCGUGAGUGAAGAAGGCCUUCGGGUCGUAAAGCUCUUUAGGUUGGGACGAAGAGUGCGGGGGGAAAUACCUGUACUUUGACGGUACCGACAGAAUAAGCACCGGCAAACUCUGUGCCAGCAGCCGCGGUAAUACAGAGGGUGCGAGCGUUAAUCGGAUUUACUGGGCGUAAAGGGUGCGUAGGCGGUUAUGAGGGUGGGAUGUGAAAGCCCCGGGCUUAACCUGGGACGUGCAUACCAAACGCCAAAACUGGAGUAUGGGAGAGGGUGGUGGAAUUUCCGGUGUAGCGGUGAAAUGCGUAGAGAUCGGAAGGAACGCCAGUGGCGAAAGCGACCACCUGGCCCAAUACUGACGCUGAGGCACGAAAGCGUGGGGAGCGAACAGGAUUAGAUACCCCCGUAGUCC
Molecule: ribosomal RNA, 448 nt
Filed under: uncultured bacterium
Lineage: Bacteria
Description: bacterial SSU rRNA
Rfam family: Bacterial small subunit ribosomal RNA
Source: RNAcentral